UACAGAGGUCCCAAGCGUUGUUCGGAUUCACUGGGCGUAAAGCGCACGUAGGCGGCUUUUUAAGUCAGGGGUGAAAUCCUGGAGCUCAACUCCAGAACUGCCUUUGAUACUGAGAAGCUUGAGUCCGGGAGAGGUGAGUGGAACUGCGAGUGUAGAGGUGAAAUUCGUAGAUAUUCGCAAGAACACCAGUGGCGAAGGCGGCUCACUGGCCCGAUACUGACGCUGAGGUGCGAAAGCGUGGGGAGCAAACAGG
RNAcentral lists this ribosomal RNA (253 nucleotides) under uncultured bacterium. Its description in RNAcentral is "partial 16S ribosomal RNA". It matches the Rfam family "Bacterial small subunit ribosomal RNA", at positions 524 to 776 of the family's 1533-position model. The record is from RNAcentral.